AACGAACGCUGGCGGCGCGCUUAAUACAUGCAAGUCGUACGUGAAAGUUCUUUCGGGAAUGAGUAAAGUGGCGUACGGGUGAGUAACACGUAGGUGACAUGCCCAUUUGUGGGGGAUAACUUUGGGAAACCAGAGCUAAUACCGCAUAAGUUAUUAGGAAUUGAAUUACUAAUAAGAAAGAUUGCCUCUAUUUAUAAGCAAUCGCGGAUGGAGUGGCCUGCGGGACAUUAGCUAGUUGGUGAGGUAACGGCUCACUAAGGCAACGAUGUCUAGCCGGUCUGAGAGGAUGAUCGGCCACACUGGAACUGAGACACGGUCCAGACUCCUACGGGAGGCAGCAGUAGGGAAUAUUGCGCAAUGGGGGAAACCCUGACGCAGCGACGCCGUGUGAGGGAGGAAGGUUUUCGGAUUGUAAACCUCUGUCAAAAGGGAAAAAUGGUCAUUGGUCUAAUAGGCCAGUGAUUUGAUGGUACCUUUAGAGGAAGCACCGGCUAACUACGUGCCAGCAGCCGCGGUAA
This 518-nucleotide ribosomal RNA is filed under the name uncultured bacterium. Its description in RNAcentral is "partial 16S ribosomal RNA". It matches the Rfam family "Bacterial small subunit ribosomal RNA", at positions 29 to 523 of the family's 1533-position model. The record is from RNAcentral.